GGAAUCUUGCGCAAUGGGCGAAAGCCUGACGCAGCAACGCCGCGUGCGGGAAGAAGGCUUUCGGGCUGUAAACCGCUCUCAGCAGGAACGAAAAUGACGGUACCUGCAGAAGAAGGAGCGGCCAACUAUGUGCCAGCAGCCGCGGUGAUACAUAGGCUUCAAGCGUUGUCCGGAUUUAUUGGGCGUAAAGAGUUCGUAGGCGGUCGAGUAAGUCGGGUGUGAAAAUUCUGGGCUCAACCCAGAAACGCCACCCGAUACUGCUUAACUUGAGUUCGAUAGGGGAGUGGGGAAUUCCUAGUGUAGCGGUGAAAUGCGCAGAUAUUAGGAGGAACACCGGUGGCGAAGGCGCCACUCUGGAUCGAUACUGACGCUGAGGAACAAAAGCAUGGGUAGCAAACAGGAUUAGAUACCCUGGUAGUCCAUGCCGUAAACGGUGGGCACUAGGUGUGGGAUUCUAUUAACGAAUUCCGCGCCGUCGCUAACGCAUUAAGUGCCCCGCCUGGGGAGUACGGUCGCAAGACUAAAACUCAAAUGAAUUGACGG
RNAcentral lists this ribosomal RNA (543 nucleotides) under uncultured bacterium. RNAcentral describes it as "bacterial SSU rRNA". It matches the Rfam family "Bacterial small subunit ribosomal RNA", at positions 358 to 916 of the family's 1533-position model. The record is from RNAcentral.